This 232-nucleotide ribosomal RNA is filed under the name uncultured bacterium. RNAcentral's name for it is "partial 16S ribosomal RNA". It matches the Rfam family "Bacterial small subunit ribosomal RNA", at positions 99 to 334 of the family's 1533-position model. The record is from RNAcentral.
CGGACGGGUGAGUAAUGCUUGGGAAUCUAGCUUAUGGAGGGGGGUAACUACGGGAAACUGUAGCUAAUACCGCGUAAUAUCGAAAGAUUAAAGUGUGGGACCUUCGGGCCACAUGCCAUAGGAUGAGCCCAAGUGGGAUUAGGUAGUUGGUGAGGUAAAGGCUCACCAAGCCGACGAUCUCUAGCUGGUCUGAGAGGAUGACCAGCCACACUGGGACUGAGACACGGCCCAG